CACUGUGACUCUGUCGGUCACCACUGAAGAACUUCGGCCUGGUCGCUGUCCACCGCAAGCUGGAUAUAUGCUCGCUCUCCUCUGCUCGUCCCAGGCAGCGGCGGCAGCGCAUGGACAGUGGCAGGGUCGGGCGCAGCACCGCCAACCGUACUGUAACCGGAGGCAAGUGGAGCGCGGCAGGAUCAGUCCGGUCAUCCCGACCCGAAUGUAUUUGGCGGAAGAGGAGGCACAGGUUUGGCCACGACGAAGAUGACAUUGGUACAUGGGAGCAUUCUUCAAUUCAGUUCGAACAAAGAAGAAAAUUAAUCUUACACUUGGAGAUAACACAGACGAUGGAGCAUGGCCUAUGUGAACCUAUAGUCAAGCAGUGGCGGAGCCCAUGGCUAGGUUUGUGAUGGAGGAGAGUGUUGAGGCCGGUGACAUCUUCGGCUCCUCGCCAAACGGAUGCUGGAGCAGAGGUGGCCGGGAUAGAGGCGAUCGUGAUGGAGGUGGCACCAUAUGAUUGGGAUGGAAUGGCAAGGUUGCCGCUGUUGUACUCUUAGGGGAUGCCGGCGUGACCUGGAGCCAUUGAAGGAGAUAGCGGGCAUGUGGCCGGCGAGAGGUAGAGAGCACGCCCUGAUCGAGACAUGAGGCCACCAUGGGAGCGGCCGACGCGGUGCCGUGCGUCUUGCGGGCAGGUUAGGGAGUUAUCUUAGAUGAGGUUAGGGAAUUAGGAAGGCGUACGGGAGAAUAAGUACGUCUAGUUUAUCCUGAUAGAAUCUGACUCGUAUGGUUGGUUUUUUAACACAAACUGUAACAUAUACUACCUCCGUUUCAAAAUAGAUGACCCAACUUUA
Long non-coding RNA from Triticum aestivum (bread wheat), 836 nucleotides. RefSeq lists it as uncharacterized. Lineage: Eukaryota; Viridiplantae; Streptophyta; Magnoliopsida; Poales; Poaceae. The record is from RefSeq and is a predicted model, not a curated record. The transcript is spliced from 2 exons.